GUGGGUUGCGUACAAUGAUUAAGUACUCACCAACUCCAAAGAAUUCAGGAAGACUUUUUUAUGGAUGUCUCAACUAUGAAUUUGUAAUUCAUUGUAAUUUCUUUCGUUUGGCUGAUGAAUAUGAAGAACGAGAUGUGAU
This is a non-coding RNA of Arachis ipaensis, 139 nucleotides long. NCBI's taxonomy places the organism in Eukaryota, Viridiplantae, Streptophyta, Magnoliopsida, Fabales, Fabaceae. The record is from RefSeq and is a predicted model, not a curated record.